This 253-nucleotide ribosomal RNA is filed under the name uncultured bacterium. Its description in RNAcentral is "partial 16S ribosomal RNA". It matches the Rfam family "Bacterial small subunit ribosomal RNA", at positions 524 to 776 of the family's 1533-position model. The record is from RNAcentral.
UACAGAGGUCCCAAGCGUUGUUCGGAUUCACUGGGCGUAAAGGGUGCGUAGGUGGCGGGGUAAGUCAGGUGUGAAAUCUCGGAGCUCAACUCCGAAACUGCACUUGAUACUGCCUUGCUCGAGUACUGGAGAGGAGAUUGGAAUUUACGGUGUAGCAGUGAAAUGCGUAGAUAUCGUAAGGAAGACCAGUGGCGAAGGCGAAUCUCUGGACAGUUACUGACACUGAGGCACGAAGGCCAGGGGAGCAAACAGG